RNAcentral lists this ribosomal RNA (253 nucleotides) under uncultured bacterium. RNAcentral's name for it is "partial 16S ribosomal RNA". It matches the Rfam family "Bacterial small subunit ribosomal RNA", at positions 524 to 776 of the family's 1533-position model. The record is from RNAcentral.
UACGUAGGGUGCUAGCGUUGUCCGGAUUUAUUGGGCGUAAAGAGCGUGUAGGCGGCCAUACAGGUCAGCUGUGAAAACUCGAGGCUCAACCUCGAGACGUCGGUUGAAACCGUAUGGCUAGAGUCCGGAAGAGGAGAGUGGAAUUCCCGGUGUAGCGGUGAAAUGCGCAGAUAUCGGGAAGAACACCCGUGGCGAAGGCGGCUCUCUGGGACGGUACUGACGCUGAGACGCGAAAGCGUGGGGAGCGAACAGG